Molecule: ribosomal RNA, 253 nt
Filed under: uncultured bacterium
Lineage: Bacteria
Description: partial 16S ribosomal RNA
Rfam family: Bacterial small subunit ribosomal RNA
Source: RNAcentral
UACAGAGGUGGCAAGCGUUGUUCGGAAUUACUGGGCGUAAAGGGCGUGUAGGCGGCCAUCUAAGUCAGACGUGAAAUCCCCCGGCUUAACCUGGGAACUGCGUCUGAUACUGGACGGCUUGAGUAUGGGAGAGGGAUGUAGAAUUCCAGGUGUAGCGGUGAAAUGCGUAGAUAUCUGGAGGAAUACCGGUGGCGAAGGCGGCAUCCUGGACCAUUACUGACGCUGAGGCGCGAAAGCUAGGGGAGCAAACGGG